AACGAACGCUGGCGGCAUGCCUAACACAUGCAAGUCGAACGAGACCUUCGGGUCUAGUGGCGCACGGGUGCGUGACGCGUGGGAAUCUGCCCUGGGGUGCGGAAUAACUCGGAGAAAUCCGUGCUAAUACCGCAUAAUGUCUUCGGACCAAAGAUUUAUUGCCCUGGGAUGAGCCCGCGUAGGAUUAGCUAGUUGGUGAGGUAAAGGCUCACCAAGGCGACGAUCCUUAGCUGGUCUGAGAGGAUGAUCAGCCACACUGGGACUGAGACACGGCCCAGACUCCUACGGGAGGCAGCAGUGGGGAAUAUUGGACAAUGGGUGUAAGCCUGAUCCAGCCAUGCCGCGUGCAGGAAGAAGGCCUUCUGGGUUGUAAACUGCUUUUGCCGGGGGAUAAAAGAUCCAUGCGUGGAGAAUUGAAGGUACCCGGUGAAUAAGCCACGGCUAACUACGUGCCAGCAGCCGCGGUAAU
Molecule: ribosomal RNA, 469 nt
Filed under: uncultured bacterium
Lineage: Bacteria
Description: bacterial SSU rRNA
Rfam family: Bacterial small subunit ribosomal RNA
Source: RNAcentral